ACGGGCCGGGGCGAUAGCGGUGCCUUGUACCUGCAAUCCGCUUAGCAGGGGUCAUGCCUAUUUUGAGGGCAGCACCGUUCGGUCCGUGCCGCACGCCCCGUUCGUUGACGGGUUGGUCCUUUCGCAAUCAAAAUCCACGAACCAUGUCAGGUGGGGAACCAAGCAGCAUUAAGAGGACUCUUUGAUGUGUUGAGAGGGUGCCUGCCCUGAGG
This 212-nucleotide signal recognition particle RNA is filed under the name bovine gut metagenome. RNAcentral's name for it is "Bacterial large signal recognition particle RNA". It matches the Rfam family "Bacterial large signal recognition particle RNA", at positions 6 to 213 of the family's 256-position model. From Rfam's summary of the family: The signal recognition particle (SRP) is a universally conserved ribonucleoprotein involved in the co-translational targeting of proteins to membranes. Archaeal SRP consists of a 7S RNA and homologues of the eukaryotic SRP19 and SRP54 proteins. The record is from RNAcentral.